CGGUUAAGUUAGAAAGGGCGCACGGUGGAUGCCUUGGCACUAGGAGCCGAUGAAGGACGGGACGAACACCGAUAUGCUUCGGGGAGCUGUAAGCAAGCUUUGAUCCGGAGAUUUCCGAAUGGGGAAACCCACCACUCGUAAUGGAGUGGUAUCCAUAUCUGAAUACAUAGGAUAUGAGAAGGCAGACCCGGGGAACUGAAACAUCUAAGUACCCGGAGGAAGAGAAAGCAAAUGCGAUUCCCUGAGUAGCGGCGAGCGAAACGGGACCAGCCCAAACCAAGAGGCUUGCCUCUUGGGGUUGUAGGACACUCUGUACGGAGUUACAAAGGAACGAGGUAGAUGAAGAGGUCUGGAAAGGCCCGCCAUAGAAGGUAACAGCCCUGUAGUCAAAACUUCGUUCUCUCCUGAGUGGAUCCUGAGUACGGCGGAACACGUGAAAUUCCGUCGGAAUCCGGGAGGACCAUCUCCCAAGGCUAAAUACUCCCUAGUGACCGAUAGUGAACCAGUACCGUGAGGGAAAGGUGAAAAGCACCCCGGAAGGGGAGUGAAAGAGAUCCUGAAACCGUGUGCCUACAAGUAGUCAGAGCCCGUUAACGGGUGAUGGCGUGCCUUUUGUAGAAUGAACCGGCGAGUUACGAUCCCGUGCAAGGUUAAGCAGAAGAUGCGGAGCCGCAGCGAAAGCGAGUCUGAAUAGGGCGAAUUGAGUACGUGGUCGUAGACCCGAAACCAGGUGAUCUACCCAUGUCCAGGGUGAAGUUCAGGUAACACUGAAUGGAGGCCCGAACCCACGCACGUUGAAAAGUGCGGGGAUGAGGUGUGGGUAGGGGUGAAAUGCCAAUCGAACCUGGAGAUAGCUGGUUCUCUCCGAAAUAGCUUUAGGGCUAGCCUCAAGGUAAGAGUCUCGGAGGUAGAGCACUGAUUGGACUAGGGGCCCCUACCGGGUUACCGAAUUCAGUCAAACUCCGAAUGCCGAUGACUUAUCCUUGGGAGUCAGACUGCGAGUGAUAAGAUCCGUAGUCGAAAGGGAAACAGCCCAGACCGCCAGCUAAGGUCCCAAAGUAUACGUUAAGUGGAAAAGGAUGUGGAGUUGCUUAGACAACCAGGAUGUUGGCUUAGAAGCAGCCACCAUUUAAAGAGUGCGUAAUAGCUCACUGGUCGAGUGACUCUGCGCCGAAAAUGUACCGGGGCUAAACGUAUCACCGAAGCUGCGGACUGUUCUUCGAACAGUGGUAGGAGAGCGUUCUAAGGGCUGUGAAGCAAGACCGGAAGGACUUGUGGAGCGCUUAGAAGUGAGAAUGCCGGUAUGAGUAGCGAAAGAGGGGUGAGAAUCCCCUCCACCGAAUGCCUAAGGUUUCCUGAGGAAGGCUCGUCCGCUCAGGGUUAGUCGGGACCUAAGCCGAGGCCGAAAGGCGUAGGCGAUGGACAACAGGUUGAUAUUCCUGUACCACCUCCUCACCAUUUGAGCAAUGGGGGGACGCAGGAGGAUAGGGUAAGCGCGGUAUUGGAUAUCCGCGUCCAAGCAGUUAGGCUGGGAAAUAGGCAAAUCCGUUUCCCGUGAAGGCUGAGCUGUGAUGGCGAGCGAAUUAUAGUAGCGAAGUUCCUGAUUCCACACUGCCAAGAAAAGCCUCUAGCGAGGUGAGAGGUGCCCGUACCGCAAACCGACACAGGUAGGCGAGGAGAGAAUCCUAAGGUGAUCGAGAGAACUCUCGUUAAGGAACUCGGCAAAAUGACCCCGUAACUUCGGGAGAAGGGGUGCUCUGUUAGGGUGCAAGCCCGAGAGAGCCGCAGUGAAUAGGCCCAGGCGACUGUUUAGCAAAAACACAGGUCUCUGCGAAGCCGUAAGGCGAAGUAUAGGGGCUGACGCCUGCCCGGUGCUGGAAGGUUAAGAGGAGCGCUUAGCGUAAGCGAAGGUGCGAAUUGAAGCCCCAGUAAACGGCGGCCGUAACUAUAACGGUCCUAAGGUAGCGAAAUUCCUUGUCGGGUAAGUUCCGACCCGCACGAAAGGCGCAACGAUCUGGGCACUGUCUCAACGAGAGACUCGGUGAAAUUAUAGUACCUGUGAAGAUGCAGGUUACCCGCGACAGGACGGAAAGACCCCGUGGAGCUUUACUGCAGCCUGAUAUUGAAUGUUGGUACAGCUUGUACAGGAUAGGUAGGAGCCUUGGAAACCGGAGCGCCAGCUUCGGUGGAGGCAUCGGUGGGAUACUACCCUGGCUGUAUUGACCUUCUAACCCGCCGCCCUUAUCGGGCGGGGAGACAGUGUCAGGUGGGCAGUUUGACUGGGGCGGUCGCCUCCUAAAAGGUAACGGAGGCGCCCAAAGGUUCCCUCAGAAUGGUUGGAAAUCAUUCGCAGAGUGUAAAGGCACAAGGGAGCUUGACUGCGAGACCUACAAGUCGAGCAGGGACGAAAGUCGGGCUUAGUGAUCCGGUGGUUCCGCAUGGAAGGGCCAUCGCUCAACGGAUAAAAGCUACCCCGGGGAUAACAGGCUUAUCUCCCCCAAGAGUCCACAUCGACGGGGAGGUUUGGCACCUCGAUGUCGGCUCAUCGCAUCCUGGGGCUGUAGUCGGUCCCAAGGGUUGGGCUGUUCGCCCAUUAAAGCGGUACGCGAGCUGGGUUCAGAACGUCGUGAGACAGUUCGGUCCCUAUCCGUCGCGGGCGCAGGAAAUUUGAGAGGAGCUGUCCUUAGUACGAGAGGACCGGGAUGGACGCACCGCUGGUGUACCAGUUGUUCUGCCAAGGGCAUCGCUGGGUAGCUAUGUGCGGACGGGAUAAGUGCUGAAAGCAUCUAAGCAUGAAGCCCCCCUCAAGAUGAGAUUUCCCAUUCCGCAAGGAAGUAAGAUCCCUGAAAGAUGAUCAGGUUGAUAGGUCUGAGGUGGAAGUGUGGCGACACAUGGAGCUGACAGAUACUAAUCGAUCGAGGACUUAACCAAUUU
This 2934-nucleotide ribosomal RNA is filed under the name Bacillus velezensis. RNAcentral's name for it is "bacterial LSU rRNA". It matches the Rfam family "Bacterial large subunit ribosomal RNA". Lineage: Bacteria; Bacillati; Bacillota; Bacilli; Caryophanales; Bacillaceae. The record is from RNAcentral.